GAGAAAUUAGUUUAGGUAGAAUAAAAGAUUGCAAGUCUUUAGGGGCUUGUUGGGGCAUUUUUCU
Molecule: transfer RNA, 64 nt
Filed under: Anurida maritima
Lineage: Eukaryota; Metazoa; Arthropoda; Collembola; Poduromorpha; Neanuridae
Description: tRNA-Cys
Source: RNAcentral